Molecule: long non-coding RNA, 682 nt
Organism: Coregonus clupeaformis (lake whitefish)
Lineage: Eukaryota; Metazoa; Chordata; Actinopteri; Salmoniformes; Salmonidae
Exons: 2
Source: RefSeq, a predicted model, not a curated record
AGAAAGAACUGAACAACAUAAGGAGCUGAUGAGACCAGACAGAUGUGCAGCAAAUCAUGGGCAAUGGGUGAAGCUCAUCUAAGUCCCAGAGAGCUUCCAGAAAUAACCCAGUCAGACGGCCCGCCUGUGAGUGGUGUCUUUCCAAAUGAGCACUACAUCUUUCUGCAUUAGCCACACUUUGCUAUGGGAGCACAACAACACACUAUUCUCUUACACAACACUGCUCUCUUCCACUGACUGUAAGUGAGAUGGAGUUAAAUUGGCAUGAGAAUAAAAGAGCGAACUGUAAGAUGUAAGAUGUCAAUUCUGGUUAAGGAAAGCUGGAAAAAUUUGGACUUUUUAAACUCUGAGGAGUUAGAGGGUGCAUAACUUGGAAAAUGUGGAGAGUGGUUGUGUGUAGUGACUGGGCUACACUAGCUUCUCCAGCCAAUGUGAGAGGCCUAAUCUCUGACCCUUGGUAGCUUUAGCUCUCCUUGCCGGGCCAGCCACAGACAAACAAAAGCUGGAUGACUGCCACAGCAGCUUCAUGUCAAGCAGUGAUCCUGUGCUCCUGAAAACAAGGUGACCAGAGAGUGUCACAUUCUGCUGGCCUACUUUACAUGGCUGACUGUUCUGUUUCUGUUUUCCCCAUGGUUUAAUCAGACUCAGAUCACUUGUCAGUAAUAAAAGCAUUCUCCUCUGG